Molecule: long non-coding RNA, 450 nt
Filed under: Nothobranchius furzeri (turquoise killifish)
Lineage: Eukaryota; Metazoa; Chordata; Actinopteri; Cyprinodontiformes; Nothobranchiidae
Description: lncRNA (ENSNFUG00015019963.1)
Source: RNAcentral
AUGGCCUCGAAAGACUUGCUUAGUUGUGUUCACACUGAGGAUUACCCGAACAAAUUCAUCAGUGGGAGGAUAAAUGAGGAGCAGAGGAGGACGACGGGAUGUCCCUGGAGCAAGGGUAUAGUGAGAUGUUGUCGAUAUGAGACAGGUGGGACUGUUUUAGCCGCUCAGGUAGCUCAGCAGAGGGGUCUGGCUUGCAGCACAGCAGGAGGAACCCACCACGCAUUUCCCAGCUACGGCUCUGGGUGUUGUCUCCUCAGUCACUUAGCAGCUGCAGCCAAAUAUCUGAUGAGCAACUCUUCCAGCAAACGGAGGAUUCUGAUCGUGGAUUUAGACGUGCAUCUGUGGAAGCCCACCUACCAUGGCUUCUGGACACUUUUCGCCCAGAUUUGGUUUUAUAUGAUGCCGGCGUUGACCCUCACUGGGAGGAUGAGCUUGGGAGGCUUUCUCUGA